GACGAACGCUGGCGGCGUGCCUAAUACAUGCAAGUAGAACGCACAGUUUAUACCGUAGCUUGCUACACCAUAGACUGUGAGUUGCGAACGGGUGAGUAACGCGUAGGUAACCUGCCUGGUAGCGGGGGAUAACUAUUGGAAACGAUAGCUAAUACUGCAUAAUAUUAAUUAUUGCAUGGUAAUUAAUUGAAAGGUGCAAUUGCACCACUACCAGAUGGACCUGCGUUGUAUUAGCUAGUAGGUGAGGUAACGGCUCACCUAGGCGACGAUACAUAGCCGACCGGAGGGGGUGAUGGGCCACCCGGGAACGGAGACCCGGCCCAGACUCCUAGGGGGGGCAGCAGUAGGGAAUCUUCGGAAAGGGAGGAAAGUCUGACCGGGCAACGCCGGGGGGGUGAAGAAGGUUUUCGGAUCGUAAAGCUUGGUUGUAAGAGAAGAACGGGUGUGGGGGUGGAAAGUUCCCCCUGGGACGGUAUUUUACCAGAAAGGGACGGCUAACUACGU
This 504-nucleotide ribosomal RNA is filed under the name uncultured bacterium. RNAcentral describes it as "partial 16S ribosomal RNA". It matches the Rfam family "Bacterial small subunit ribosomal RNA", at positions 28 to 506 of the family's 1533-position model. The record is from RNAcentral.